This 383-nucleotide unclassified non-coding RNA is filed under the name uncultured Solirubrobacterales bacterium. RNAcentral describes it as "contains 16S-23S intergenic spacer region". Lineage: Bacteria; Bacillati; Actinomycetota; Thermoleophilia; Solirubrobacterales. The record is from RNAcentral.
UCCUCGUUUAAGCGAGGCAGUCUGUCCAGAGUGCUCCUUACUCUCGUAAGGGUGGCAACAUAGGACGGGGGUUGCGCUCGUUGCGGGACUUAACCCAACAUCUCACGACACGAGCUGACGACAGCCAUGCACCACCUGUGAUGGUGUCCCGAAGGAAAACCGUGUUUCCACGGCGGUCACCAACAUGUCAAGCCCAGGUAAGGUUCUUCGCGUUGCGUCGAAUUGAACCACAUGCUCCGCUGCUUGUGCGGGUCCCCGUCAAUUCCUUUGAGUUUUAGCCUUGCGGCCGUACUCCCCAGGCGGGGCACUUAAUGCGUUAGCUGCGGCACGGGAGGAGUCGACACCUCCCACACCUAGUGCCCAUCGGUUACGGCGUGGACUAC